Molecule: ribosomal RNA, 3051 nt
Filed under: Candida labiduridarum
Lineage: Eukaryota; Fungi; Ascomycota; Pichiomycetes; Serinales; Debaryomycetaceae
Description: small subunit ribosomal RNA
Rfam family: Bacterial small subunit ribosomal RNA (bases 1819-2389)
Source: RNAcentral
AACUACAUAAAUUUGAUGUAGGUUUAGAUAAAACGCUAAAUAGAGACAUAACACAUGCAUGUUUAUAUAUAUUAUAUAAUUAUAUUAAUAUAUAAUUUAUUUAUAUAAUAUUAAUUAUUAUUUUUAAUAAAUAUAUCGAUAUAGUAUUAAGUAGAUUAUUAUUAAUAAUAUUCAUUAAUUAAUGUAUAUAGAUAAUUAUAAUAUAAUUAUAAUAUAUAAGCGAUUAGGUGAGUAUAAUAAAGUUAAAUUAACUUUAAGAGAUGUAGGUAUUAGUAUUAAUUGACUAGCCAAAGACCUCUACUCCAUGGUGGAAGCCAUAAGGAGCACAUAGAUAUUAUAUCUACUACUAUUAGUAGCAGCAGUGGGGAAUUAUUGACAAUGAUCUAACGAUUGAUCAUGUUAUCUAUUAAAGAUUUUGUUUUAUUUAUAAUAUUUAUAAAUUAUUUAAUUAUAAUUAUUAUAUAUAAUUAUAUUUAUAUAUAAUCUACUAUAUAAAUAUAUAUAUAUAAUAUCUACAAAUAUAUUAACUCACAUUAAUAUAAUGUUAUAUUUUAUAUUUUAUAUAAAAUGAAAUAGAAAUAAAUAUUAUAUCAUAACAAAUAUAUCUUAAUAUAUUAAUUAAUAAUGAUAAUUAAUAAUAUUUAGUCCUUACUAAGAUGUGUGCCAGCAGUAGCGGUCAUACACACAGGGCAAGCGUUUAUCAUCCUUGGUAUAAAGGAUCCGUAGGCUUAAUAUCGAUUAUUAUUAUAAUCUUUUUAAUGGAUUAUAAUUAAUUAUUUUAUUUUUUAAUUAAUUUAAAAUAAGAUCUAUUUAUAUUAUUAUUUAUUAUUAUAUAAUAAAUAAUUUUAUUAUAAAUAUAUAUAAUAUAUAUUAAAUAAAUAUUAAUUUAUUAAAUAUUAAUUUAAUUAAUUAGUAAAUAUAAUAUAGAAUAAUCAUAGAAUCUUAUAAAUUUAAUAUGUAAAUUAUAUAAAGAGUUAAUAUGCUAUGACAUAUAAUAGACAGCAAAGAAGUUAAAUAAUAAGAUUGACGCUGAGGGAUGAAAGCUGUAAUAGUGACAUGGAUUCGGUACCCAUUUAACUGCAGCCGUAAACUAUGUAUAUCACGUAAAUCAUUUUCACUUAAUUUCACCAACCCUAAUACAAGUAUUAAUUAUAUAGUUUAUUCUUAUAAUUUUUAUACAUUAAAUAUAAUUUUAUUUAUAUCUAAUUAGAUUAAAAUAAUAAUAAAUUAUUAUUAUUUAAUAUUUAAUUAUCUUUUAUUAGUAAUAAUAAAUUAUUAUAAAUAAUUAAUAUUAAUUAUUAAAUAUAUAAAUUAUAUAUCAUUUAUAUAUUAAAAAUAAGUUAUAAAUAAAAAGAUAUAUAAAAAAUAAAUAAGAAUAUAUAAGAAAAUAUUAGGUUAUUAUAUAAAAGUAUAAUACUAGAUUAUUAAAGUUAAAAUAAUAUCAAUAUAUUAUAAUAUAUUAGACUAUAUUUAUAUAAAAUAUAUAAAUAUAAUAUAAAAUAAUAAAUUGUUUUUAAUGGAGAUAGUAUAAUUAUAUAAUAAAUGGAUAUAUUAGAAUUAAAAUUAGAUCUAAUUAUUAUAAGAUAAUAAAAUUUAGUCUAAGUAUUAUUAUAUUAUAAUAAAAUGUCUUAUACUAGUUUAAAAGUAAAUGAAUAAUUUUAAAGAUAUAUAAAAUUAAUAAUAUAAAAGUGUAAAUAUAAUAAUUUAUUAAUAUUUAAUUAUAAAAAAGAAAGAUAGAUAGUAAUAUAAAUAUAAUAAAUAUUAUAGGUGAAUAAUAAGAGAGAUUUGAGCAAAUUAACAUUAAGAAUAUACCACCAGACUAGUACGUUCGCAAGAAUGAAAUGUAAUACAUUAGACGGUUAUAUACCGAUACAGUGGAUCAUGCUGUUUAAUUGGACGAUACCCCAUAAAUCUUACCAUUUCUUGAAUAUAUUAUUUAAAUAUAUAUAAUUAAAUAUAUUAAAUAUAUUAAUUAUUAUUUUUAAUAAUUAUAAAUUAAUAAAUUUAUUAUUUAUAAAUAUAAAUAAUAUACAGGCGUUACAUUGUUGUCGUCAGUUCAUGCCAUCAUGGUUUAUUAUUAAGUUAUGUAAUGAACGAAAUCCUUGUUUAGAAUUUUAUUUUUAUAAAAUUUUAUAAAAUAGUAUAAUAGAGAUAUUAUAGUAAGUAAAGGUUAAAGACUAAUCCGCAUGACCCUUAUGAAAUGGGCUACAGGUGUGAUACGAAUUAACUAUUAAUUAUAUAUCUUAUAAAUAUAGAUAAAUAUGAAUUAGUUAAAUUAAGGAAUUAUAUCUUUAAAUGAAUUAAUACCUGAAACUCGGUAUUAUAAAAGAGGAACUGUCAGUAAUCAUAUUUUAGUAUAAUAUGGUGAAUUUGUCAUAUAUUUCGCACUAAUCACUCAUCAAUAGCACAGAUGGAUUUUAUAAAUAUUUAUAUCUUAAUUAUAUUUCUUAUAUUUAUAUAUUAUAUCUUUUAUAUAUAUAAUAUACGUAUAUUUAUUUAAUAUAUAUUAAUUAUUAAUAUGAUAUUAUUCUAUAUAUAUCUAAGUAUAUUUUAUAUUUAUAUAUAAAUGAAUUAUUAUAUAUAUAAUUAAUUAUUAUAAAAGUAUAUAUCGAUAUAAUAAUUAUAAUGUAUAAUAUAUUUAUAUUUAUAUAUUAAUAUAAUUAAUAUUAAUAAAAUAAAUUAAUCUAUAUAAUAGAUAUUAUCAGAUGAAUUAAAUAUUAAAAAAUAUAAAUUAAUAAAAUAAAAUUUUAUAUAAUAUGAAUAUACAAUUAUAAAUUAAUAUAAAUAAAUAAAAAUAUGAUGAUUAUAAUAAAAUAUAAAUUAUAUUUUAUAUAAGUGAAAAUAAAGAAUAUAAAAUAUAUAAAUAAAUUAUAAUAAGUUGAAUUAUUGAAAAAAGAUGAUUUAGACAUUUAAUAAAGUAAAUAAUAUAAACGAAAAAGAAUAUAAGAAAAGAAAUUAAAGAUUAAUAAAAAUAUUUAUUAGAAAUGAAAAAUAUGCUAUAAGUUGAAAUAUAGUUCGGGUAAGGGAACUUGCUCGGGGUUUAUAAAAAUA